Molecule: ribosomal RNA, 429 nt
Filed under: Acidobacteriota bacterium
Lineage: Bacteria; Pseudomonadati; Acidobacteriota
Description: Acidobacteria bacterium partial 16S ribosomal RNA
Rfam family: Bacterial small subunit ribosomal RNA
Source: RNAcentral
UGGGGAAUUUUUGACAAUGGGGGAAACCCUUAUCCAGCCAUCCCGCGUGUGCGAUGAAGGCCUUCGGGUUGUAAAGCACUUUUGGCAGGAAAGAAACGUCAUGGGUUAAUACCCCGUGAAACUGACGGUACCUGCAGAAUAAGCACCGGCUAACUACGUGCCAGCAGCCGCGGUAAUACGUAGGGUGCAAGCGUUAAUCGGAAUUACUGGGCGUAAAGCGUGCGCAGGCGGUUCGGAAAGAAAGAUGUGAAAUCCCAGAGCUCAACUUUGGAACUGCAUUUUUAACUACCGGGCUAGAGUGUGUCAGAGGGAGGUGGAAUUCCGCGUGUAGCAGUGAAAUGCGUAGAUAUGCGGAGGAACACCGAUGGCGAAGGCAGCCUCCUGGGAUAACACUGACGCUCAUGCACGAAAGCGUGGGGAGCAAACAGG